Molecule: RNA transcript, 1748 nt
Organism: Arabidopsis lyrata subsp. lyrata
Lineage: Eukaryota; Viridiplantae; Streptophyta; Magnoliopsida; Brassicales; Brassicaceae
Gene name: squalene epoxidase 5
Exons: 8
Source: RefSeq, a predicted model, not a curated record
UCAUUCUCAAUUCUCUCAUAAACCACAUUGAGAACUGAUAGAUAUGGAUAUGGCUUUUACACACGUUUGUGUAUGCACGCUACUCGCCUUCGUGCUAACUUGGACGCUGUUCUACGACACAAACAGGGGGAAGAAGGCAACGAAGUCGGCGGAUGCGGUGGUGGAAGAGCGAAAAGAUGGUGCUGCUGCUGACGUUAUCAUCGUUGGGGCUGGAGUUGGCGGCUCGGCUCUCGCAUAUGCUCUUGCUAAGGACGGGCGUCGAGUGCAUAUAAUAGAGAGGGACAUGAGAGAACCAGAGAGAAUGAUGGGUGAGUUUAUGCAACCAGGAGGACGAUUCAUGCUCUCUAAGCUUGACCUUCAAGAUUUUUUGGAAGGAAUAGAUGCCCAAAAAGCCACGGGCAUGGCAGUUUAUAAGGACGGAAAAGAAGCAGUCGCAUCUUUUCCGGUGGACAACAACAAAUUUCCUUAUGAUCCUUCUGCUCGAUCUUUUCACAAUGGUCGAUUCGUCCAACGUCUGCGCCAAAAAGCUUCUUCUCUUCCCAAUGUUCGGCUCGAAGAAGGAACGGUGAGGUCUUUGAUCGAAGAAAAAGGAGUGAUCAAAGGAGUGACAUACAAAAAUAGCGCAGGCGAAGAAACAACAGCCUUUGCACCUCUCACUGUGGUAUGCGACGGUUGCUACUCAAACCUUCGUCGGUCGCUUAACGACAACAAUGCGGAGGUUCUGUCAUACCAAGUUGGUUACAUCUCAAGAAACUGUCAGCUUGAAGAACCGGAGAAGUUAAAAUUGAUAAUGUCUAAACCCUCCUUCACCAUGUUGUAUCAAAUCGGCAGCACCGACGUUCGUUGUGUUUUUGAGCUUUUCCCCAACAACGUUCCUUCUAUUUCAAAUGGUGAAAUGGUUAAUUUCGUGAAGAACACUAUUGCUCCUCAGGUACCUUCAAAACUCCGUGAAAUAUUUUUGAAAGGGAUCGAUGAAGGAGCACAUAUAAAAGUCAUGCCAACAAAGAAAAUGUCAGCUACGUUGAGCGAUAAGAAAGGAGUGAUUGUAUUGGGAGAUGCAUUCAACAUGCGUCAUCCAGCAAUCGCAUCUGGAAUGAUGGUUUUAUUAUCUGACAUUCUCAUUCUACGCCGCCUUCUCCAGCCAUUAAGCAACCUUGGUGAUGCGCAAAAAAUCUCAGAAGUUAUCAAGUCCUUUUAUGAUAUACGCAAGGAAAUGCAUUUUCUCAAGUGCUAAUUGCAUCAACGGACAAAGCAAAAGAAGCAAUGAGACAGGGUUGCUAUGAUUACCUCUGUAGUGGUGGAUUUCGCACGUCAGGGAUGAUGGCUCUGCUCGGCGGCAUGAACCCUCGCCCGAUCUCUCUCAUCUAUCAUCUAUGUGCUAUCACUCUAUCCUCCAUUGGCCACCUACUCUCUCCAUGUCCCUCUCCCCUUGACAUCUGGCAUAGCCUCCGACUUUUUGGUUUAGCUACAAAAAUGUUGGUUCCCCAUCUAAAGGCCGAAGGAGUUAGCCAAAUGUUGUUUCCAGUCAACGCAGCCGCGUAUCGCAAAAGCUAUAUGGCCGCAACGGCUCUCUAAGUAUUGAUGCUUUAAACUGCAAAAUAUAUCACACAUAAAGAAAUCACGAAUCUUUGUGAUUCUGCAUCUAUUAUGUUCUACAAUUGUUAGCAUAUAAAUGAGAAUUAUUCUAUGUAAAAGAAAAAACAAGGAAUUGUAAUCAUAUAUAUGAAAGUUGAUCAAUUUUUUCAAUC